Heterocephalus glaber (naked mole-rat) is the source of this 107-nucleotide small nuclear RNA. Lineage: Eukaryota; Metazoa; Chordata; Mammalia; Rodentia; Bathyergidae. The record is from Ensembl.
UUGCUCACUUUGGCAGCUCAUAUACUAAAAUUAAGAUGAUACACGGGAGAUUAGCAUGGCCCUUACAUAAGGAUAAAACACCACUGUGUGAAGCAUUCCAUAUAUAA